UUUUAAUUCGUGAAUGAAUAAGAGGCAAACUAUUAAUCAUACAUGAAUAAAACAUAAUAUUUAAAUAAAAAUCAAAUACAACUAUAAUCAUAAAUGAAUAAAAUAUAUUGUAUAGAUAAUUAAAAUAUACCUAUAAUCAUAAAUGAAUACCACAAAACAAAAAAGAAAUUACAAUGUAUAAUUUAGGUAUUUUUCAUUAAUCUUAAAUGAAUAAGACACAAAAAUAGUUGCAAUAUAGAAAUUUUGUUGUGGCUUAUCCAAUGAAGCUGAUAUUUUGAUUUUUCUUUGUUGUCUCUGAUUCUUGUAGUCUUGCAGUUUGUAUAUUGCAACUUUCAAUUUGCUACGCAUAAUGAAUUUUUGUCUUUCAUUCAAUUACCUAAAAAAAGAAAGCAAAAAAAAGUUAAUUAGAAACAAGAGCCCCCACCUUGUAAUUUAACAAGCUUUAGCUCCAACUCAAUAUCUCACUAAUCACAUAAUCAAGGACCCGGUGCAUCAUUUUCACAGGACUUUCAAUUUAUGGGUGCAACUUGCUCAAAUAUAUUAUUCUAGAACUUUUAUUCAUUAAUGGAUAAAGCUACAAUCAUAAAUGAAUAUCAAGGUGGUGCCCCCGAAAAGAAAGUAUGGAUUCGAGGUCACCUUUUGGCAUCUUUUAGCACUUACCAACAUGCGAGUUAUAGUGAUAUCAUUUAUCAAUUUAGGAUACAUGUAUGGAUAUAGAGACUAUAAUGUGUAAUUCCACCACACCUGCAUACUAAAAGCCAUUAUAAAAAACAUCGACUUGUAAGAUGAAAAAGAAGAAAUGAACCAAAAAGACAUCGUUUUACUUAACAAAAUUGGGUGUACAAAUCAGAUUUCAAAGCUAGUAAUCUUGCCUAGUCUACAGGUCAAACCAAAAUGAGGGAAACAGUUCAAGUUUAAAGAUCAACAAGAACCCAAAAUUGAACAAACAAAAGAAUUAUAAAUAAGUAAACAUUCUAAAACUUAGCAAAUUUCCUAUCAACCUAAGAAACUAGCAAAUCUACGCACUUCCAGUAUAGGAUUACGAUAUAAUAAUAAGCCCUAUUAUGCGGAUUAAACAACAAAAGAGGAAUACAUUGGAGCAUACCCGAUCAGUGAAAGUGAGACCACUUUAACCCAUAAACUAUGAAAUCAUAUGAAGAAAUACCGAGAAUCAUUAAGAAUUCAUCCUACUAACACAAAAAGAGAAACACGAUAAGGAAGAAACUGAAAAAUAGGAACGAUCAUCUCAAACAAUACAUCGACAUGUGAAACAACUUGUGGAGUUACCGUGAUUAACAAAGAGAACACUAAACUUACAAUUCCAUUGACGAUGAUUGAGAAUUCACGAUGAAUUGACUUUGGAAAAAGAUCCGUGAUAAGAUUUUGAUCGAUUCAAAUAGGAUAGGAUCGAUGUUGGCGACAUGUUAAUGAAGUGAAGAGGCUCUGGUAGUUGUUCUUACGGAGAGGCGGUGGUACAUCAGAGUCUAGAGAGAGAAUUGGGUGUCAGAUGCUAAAUGCAACUAUACAAGUGUGAGAUCCGAAGGUACAUAUGUGUGGAGGCGGACCUGGUAGCCAUGGUCGAUUACGACCAAACCCUAAGCGAGGUGUCAGCUACUUUUUUGUUGGAAAAUGAAGAUCCAAUGAAGCAUAACAGGGGAGGAAAAUGAAGAUCAGGUUGUAAAUGGAUUAGACAAUCUUAAUCUGAAGUAUAAACAAGGGAGUAGAAGUUGGGAUAGAUAAAGGCAGGUUGUGAUAAAGAUGAUGGAUUUUAUGCCAAGAACAAGGGUCGCUCCCAAACACGCACAACCAACAUUCGGAUAUUAGGAAAUUAGGGGUGUUUCAUAUCAAAAAGUGAUUUUUAGAAAAGAUCUUUUUGAUUCCUAUAAAAAAAUUUUAAAAUGUGUUUGUUUAAACUUUUGAGGGGGAAGGGAAAAAAAGCAAAAGUUGCCAAAAGUCAAACAUACGUGACUUCUUAAAAGCCUCAUUUUUCUUCUUCUCAAAAAACUAUUUUAAAAGAUCUUUUUCAAUUGUCAAACAACUUUUUAAACUUUUUGAUUUUUUGGAAAAGCCAAAAAUUUCAAAAGUCAUUUUAAAAGCAAAGUCAAACACCCUCUCUAGAUUUACGUUAUUUUCUUAUUUACAAUUACCUAAAUUAAACCAUUUGAAUUUACCUCAGUCCCCUUUGCUGCAUUUUAAGAUUUUCAGUUUUGAUAUUUACAAAAAUUGUCCUUACAUGUUAUAGCCCUAGAUCUAAGUAAUUAGAUGGUCGAGAUUUGUUCUCAUGUUCUUAACCUUUCGUGUGAUCUNNNNNNNNNNNNNNNNNNNNNNNNNNNNNNNNNNNNNAUAUAUAUAAAAGAGAGAGACAGAGUAAUAGUUAUAUAUCUAUUUCACUCUCUUCCCCCUCUUUAUCCGUCUCUCUUUCUCUCACAUCUAUCUUUGUUUACCUAUCCAUCUCUUUUUUUUUCUCUCUCUAUUCUCAUGUGUGUGAAUGACAACCAUGAGGAAACAUUCUCCAACUCUACAAUUAUGUGUAUAUUGUAACCAUAAAGUAUAUAGAACCCUCAAAAGAUUUAGGGAACUCUCAAGGAUGAAGAACAUGUAUUCAUAGAAUCUAUCUCCGCUGUGGUUUAGUAGGUUUCCAUGUUUUCAUUUCUUACCCCUUCCCCUUGAAUUUGAUUUGCAUGUCUGAAUCUGAAAGAUAAAACACGAUGAAUAGGAUCUAACAUAUUGAUUACCAUUGAUGGAACUUGUCAACAUAUCUAAUUCAAAGAUCCAACACAAGAUUUAAUCACACAAAGACAAGGUGAAAUUAUUAGCUUUUUGUUCUAUAAUGGUGGUUAAUAUGACGAAAAAAGACUUAGAAAAAUUGGAAAAGUUGGGGGAGACAAGGAUGGAGAACCGAAGACUUGUGGAUCAUGGUUGAAAGCCGGUGGGCUUGAAGGUCGCUGGAAAGACAAAGCGGGGAGGAUGAAGUGGGGAUUAUGGAUAGGCUUAAUGGUGUUUUUAUUAUUUCAAAUUUAAUGUAUAUAAUAAAAAUCAAUAGAAAGUUUAACCGAAGAUAAAAUUGUGAUCUUUUGUAUUAUAUUUGUAACAAAUGAAACCAUAUGGACCACGCACAUAAUACAAAAUAAAAAAAACAACUGAACCUACAAUUUUUGUAAACCACAAAAAUAAUUGGUACUUUUGUCUUUAUUAUAUUGCAAUCAAGACCUUGAGUUUCUUAAAUUAAAAUCUUGAUGUUCGGUAUUUUUUUGGAUUCCGAGCCACUAGAAGUGAUAGUUUAUGUUGGCCUAGAUGAUAUAAUUGACCGUGUUUAAAAUGUUUAUAAUCUAGCUUUUUAACGACUUUUCUAUCUAUUGAAUAUCUUCAUUGAUGUUUAAAAAAACUCCUAUACAUUUAUCAUUUAAAACUUAAAAGUGAAACCUUUGCAAGUAGAUAAUCUUAUGGAUCUUCUCAGAUGAGCAGUUCUUGAUUGCAACCCAGAUAAAUGGAGUUGGUUGUUGGAUUCUAGUGGUAUUUUCACUAUCAAAUCGACUAGGAAAUAUCUUGAUGAUCAACGUUUGCCCAAGGGAGAAAGGUAUAUUAGAUGGAACAACUAUGUUUUGAUUAAGAUUAAUGUUUUUUGUGGACAUUUUUGUUAGACAUGCUUCCUCUUAGAAAGUAAUUUGGUGGAUAGGGGAGUGGAGUUGGGUUCGGUUUUAUGCCCUAUCUUUCUGUUCGAGAUUGAUAAUAUUAUUCAUUUAUUUUUUCAAUGUUCGGCUUGUCAAAUUUGGGGAAAAGUUGCAUGGUGGCUUGAUUUGCAGAUGCAAACUUUCUCUUUCUCUUUACUGACGGAUUUUUUACAUUGGAUUGAUGCUCGACCGGUCGUCAGGAUGGAAAGAUCGAUUGUGGAGUCGAUUUUAUGACAGCGUUAUGGGUUAUUUAGUCAUAUCAGAAUGCAGUUGUUUUUCGAUCUUCUGAAUAUAGAAA
RNAcentral lists this long non-coding RNA (3969 nucleotides) under Lactuca sativa (garden lettuce). Its description in RNAcentral is "long non-coding RNA (LSAT_LNC009301)". The record is from RNAcentral. Lineage: Eukaryota; Viridiplantae; Streptophyta; Magnoliopsida; Asterales; Asteraceae.